Molecule: ribosomal RNA, 646 nt
Filed under: uncultured bacterium
Lineage: Bacteria
Description: bacterial SSU rRNA
Rfam family: Bacterial small subunit ribosomal RNA
Source: RNAcentral
AUUGAACGCUGGCGGAAUGCUUUACACAUGCAAGUCGAACGGCAGCACGGGUGCUUGCACCUGGUGGCGAGUGGCGAACGGGUGAGUAAUGCGUCGGAACGUACCGAGUAAUGGGGGAUAACGCAGCGAAAGUUGUGCUAAUACCGCAUACGCCCUGAGGGGGAAAGUGGGGGACCGCAAGGCCUCACGUUAUUCGAGCGGCCGACGUCUGAUUAGCUAGUUGGUGGGGUAAAGGCCUACCAAGGCGACGAUCAGUAGCGGGUCUGAGAGGAUGAUCCGCCACACUGGGACUGAGACACGGCCCAGACUCCUACGGGAGGCAGCAGUGGGGAAUUUUGGACAAUGGGCGCAAGCCUGAUCCAGCCAUUCCGCGUGAGUGAAGAAGGCCUUCGGGUUGUAAAGCUCUUUCGGCAGGAACGAAACGGCGGGCUCUAACAUAGCCUGUUACUGACGGUACCUGCAGAAGAAGCACCGGCUAACUACGUGCCAGCAGCCGCGGUAAUACGUAGGGUGCGAGCGUUAAUCGGAAUUACUGGGCGUAAAGCGUGCGCAGGCGGAUUGUUAAGCAAGACGUGAAAUCCCCGGGCUUAACCUGGGAAUGGCGUUUUGAACUGGCAGUCUAGAGUGCGUCAGAGGGGGGUGGAAU